AUCUAAAUAGUUUAUAAAAAAUAUAAAUUUGUGGAAUUUAAGAAAUAAUUUUAUUUUAGGUA
This 62-nucleotide transfer RNA is filed under the name Anomopsocus amabilis. RNAcentral describes it as "tRNA-His". Lineage: Eukaryota; Metazoa; Arthropoda; Insecta; Psocodea; Lachesillidae. The record is from RNAcentral.